AGGGUUCGAUUCUGGCUCAGGAUGAACGCUGGCGGCGUGCUUAACACAUGCAAGUCGAACGGGAUCCAUCAGGCUUUGCUUGGUGGUGAGAGUGGCGAACGGGUGAGUAAUGCGUGACCGACCUGCCCCAUACACCGGAAUAGCUCCUGGAAACGGGUGGUAAUGCCGGAUGCUCCAGUUGAUCGCAUGGUCUUCUGGGAAAGCUUUCGCGGUAUGGGAUGGGGUCGCGUCCUAUCAGCUUGACGGCGGGGUAACGGCCCACCGUGGCUUCGACGGGUAGCCGGCCUGAGAGGGCGACCGGCCACAUUGGGACUGAGAUACGGCCCAGACUCCUACGGGAGGCAGCAGUGGGGAAUAUUGCACAAUGGGCGCAAGCCUGAUGCAGCGACGCCGCGUGAGGGAUGGAGGCCUUCGGGUUGUAAACCUCUUUUAUCGGGGAGCAAGCGAGAGUGAGUUUACCCGUUGAAUAAGCACCGGCUAACUACGUGCCAGCAGCCGCGGUAAUACGUAGGGUGCAAGCGUUAUCCGGAAUUAUUGGGCGUAAAGGGCUCGUAGGCGGUUCGUCGCGUCCGGUGUGAAAGUCCAUCGCUUAACGGUGGAUCCGCGCCGGGUACGGGCGGGCUUGAGUGCGGUAGGGGAGACUGGAAUUCCCGGUGUAACGGUGGAAUGUGUAGAUAUCGGGAAGAACACCAAUGGCGAAGGCAGGUCUCUGGGCCGUUACUGACGCUGAGGAGCGAAAGCGUGGGGAGCGAACAGGAUUAGAUACCCUGGUAGUCCACGCCGUAAACGGUGGAUGCUGGAUGUGGGGCCCGUUCCACGGGUUCCGUGUCGGAGCUAACGCGUUAAGCAUCCCGCCUGGGGAGUACGGCCGCAAGGCUAAAACUCAAAGAAAUUGACGGGGGCCCGCACAAGCGGCGGAGCAUGCGGAUUAAUUCGAUGCAACGCGAAGAACCUUACCUGGGCUUGACAUGUUCCCGACGGUCGUAGAGAUACGGCUUCCCUUCGGGGCGGGUUCACAGGUGGUGCAUGGUCGUCGUCAGCUCGUGUCGUGAGAUGUUGGGUUAAGUCCCGCAACGAGCGCAACCC
This 1086-nucleotide ribosomal RNA is filed under the name gut metagenome. Its description in RNAcentral is "bacterial SSU rRNA". It matches the Rfam family "Bacterial small subunit ribosomal RNA", at positions 8 to 1104 of the family's 1533-position model. The record is from RNAcentral.